This 868-nucleotide ribosomal RNA is filed under the name Neogloboquadrina incompta. RNAcentral's name for it is "bacterial SSU rRNA". It matches the Rfam family "Eukaryotic small subunit ribosomal RNA", at positions 1305 to 1831 of the family's 1831-position model. The record is from RNAcentral. Lineage: Eukaryota; Foraminifera; Rotaliida; Globorotaliidae.
UAUCAAUUGUUACAGAGUCGACCCUCACCUUGAGUGCGCGUCUAACUUGUAGUACAUGGUGUAAAUGGAUUUGUUUUGGGACCCAGAAAGCAACGAACGUGACCGCAACGUCUUGUGUCUCUUUUUGACAGUUAUGGGUUAUCCCAGUCAUGUGUUUAUACUUUUAUGUGUAAAUACGUACGACACAGAGACUAGAUACCAAACUAGGCGUACCGCUGUAUCAUUUCUUUAAACCAGAGGAAGGUUGCGGCAAUAACAGGUCUGUGAUGCCCUUAGAUGUUCUGGGCUGCACACGUGCUACAAUGAUCAGCACAGUAAGCAUCUCAAUUUUUACAACACCGUCAACACACGUAGUGAGCUGCUUGAUCUCUCAUUCAUGCAUUCUGUGCUUCGGUGCAGUGUGCAAUGUGAGUUGUCUAAUGCGCGCGGUUAUGCCUGUACCGAGAGGUGACGUCGGGUAAACAUUCUCUAAUGCUGACCUAUUUUUCUGAAAUAUGCACAACUCUAAUAUGACAUUCAUUCCCGGGAGGACUAGUUGCCUCUUUGUGUGAGUGUAAUGCAAACAUGAAUAGCGACUGUCGCUGUUUACUCAUAUGUGCCCCUGUCAAUUCGUGGUGGGGACAGACCAUUGCUAAUUGUUGGUCUCGCUUAUAACUAGGAAUGCCUUGUACGGGUCUUUGGUUCAACAAACCACCCGGAAUACGUCCCUGCCCUUUGUACACACCGCCCGUCGCUCUUACCGAUGAACUCGUUUGUGAGUUUUAAGGACUGGAUUAAGCUAUAUGCGUAACCUAUGGAAAUUCAUGCGAAUGAACUGGUUUAAAGGAAAGAGAAGUCGUAACAAGGCAUCAGGGUACCGAGCUCGAAU